Molecule: ribosomal RNA, 483 nt
Filed under: uncultured bacterium
Lineage: Bacteria
Description: partial 16S ribosomal RNA
Rfam family: Bacterial small subunit ribosomal RNA
Source: RNAcentral
AUUGAACGCUGGCGGCAUGCUUUACACAUGCAAGUCGAACGGUAACAGGGUGCUUGCACCGCUGACGAGUGGCGAACGGGUGAGUAAUGCAUCGGAAUGUACCGUGUAAUGGGGGAUAGCUCGGCGAAAGCCGGAUUAAUACCGCAUACGCCCUGAGGGGGAAAGUGGGGGACCGAAAGGCCUCACGUUAUACGAGCAGCCGAUGUCUGAUUAGCUAGUUGGUGAGGUAAAGGCUCACCAAGGCGUCGAUCAGUAGCGGGUCUGAGAGGAUGAUCCGCCACACUGGGACUGAGACACGGCCCAGACUCCUACGGGAGGCAGCAGUGGGGAAUUUUGGACAAUGGGCGCAAGCCUGAUCCAGCCAUGCCGCGUGUCUGAAGAAGGCCUUCGGGUUGUAAAGGACUUUUGUCCGGGAGCAAAUCCUAGUGGUUAAUACCUACUGGGGCUGAGAGUACCGGAAGAAUAAGCACCGGCUAACUACGU